Molecule: long non-coding RNA, 660 nt
Filed under: Anser cygnoides (Swan goose)
Lineage: Eukaryota; Metazoa; Chordata; Aves; Anseriformes; Anatidae
Description: lncRNA (ENSACDG00005005017.1)
Source: RNAcentral
AGUUAAUUUUUUGGCACUUUUCAAAAGGCUAGAACGCUUUUGUCCAAAAAAGAGGAACAUACCCACUGGGAGGCUUUCCGACUGGCCUAGGAACCAGAAAGAACACACUUCCUGUUGGACAGCACUGCCGUUCAUGGGGUGGUAACAAAGUUUUGAAAAACAUGGGUUAUCAAGAAAUACCAGAUGUAUUAGUUUCCAUAAACCUACCAUAUAUCUAGGUAUUUCCCAAAGCAUAUUGCCUUUUUCUUCCUGGAAAUUGUGUAAAGUGGGGGCAAAAAAAAAGUGUUUAGUAAUUUGUCUGGGAUUUCUGGUGUCCUGGUAAUCGAGUUGGAGCAAUAGCUCUAGAUAACUAGAAGUCCCAGAAGGAUGACCACUGCUCAUGCACAGAUCAUCUGUGUCUUUUUUUUCACAGAAAGGAAAGUUUAAUCACUCCCUAAAGGCACGAUUUCAAAGAGUACUGUACAUACAGCAGUCAUCCCUCACAUCAAAUCUAUUGAAGAUCAUCAUAAAAGGCUGGAGUGGACUCUCUCUCUCAAAAAAUAUACUUCGUGUUUCUUUAUCUCUCGUGCUCAGUGGCCGAAGAAUUGGGUGAUGGAAGAGAUAAGACAUUUCUGUCUGGUACUGAUUCCAAGUUUGAAAUAAAAUCGACGCAUACCAGCA